UCAAUGUGUAUUAUCUUCAUUUCUGCUAAUAAAAAGGAAAUGAGAGCACAGAGCAAUAAUACUCACUAAAUACAAUCAAAAAGAAGAAAUAAUUAAUUAAAAUAUAUUUAAAUAUACAAAAUAAAGCAGAUGAAGAUCUAGAGAAGCUCCACUGCUGAGAGAAGCCUUUUUGAUGGUCUGUCAAGAAUUAGAUUGGAUCCUACAAUUUUACCUGUAGUUGCAAGAAGUCUUAUUGAACAUCCUUUCGAAUUCCAUCUCCCGUCUUUAAAUUCAACAAUGAUGGUGCGAAAAUUUCUGAGACAUUUCAGCUGUUACCUUCAUACCACUGCUUGAAGUAAACUAAACUUCCAAAGAUUAUACCAAUAAUAUGUUGAACUGCAACAACUUGGAGAUCGAGUUUACUUUGAUGCACUCCCUUGGAGAUCAGGUUUACUUUGAUAACGGUAUAGAGAAUCUUUGUCUAAAAGCAUUUAAGUUUGGACUAGGUUCUGUACGCCCUGUUUCUUUGCUGAAGGUAAUAUAAUGUUUAGAGCAUAGGCUGUGAAACCUAUAUUGUCGGAGAAAAGAAAACUAGCUUGAGACACAAAAGUCAAAAGUCCAAGAUUAUACGAAAUCCAAAGGUUACUUGAGCACACAAUGUCUAUCUUCAAAAGGGAUGGCAUUUUAAGCCACAAGAUCGACUUCAUCUCGAUCAGGGGAAACUACGUCUAAUCUCAUCAUGCUCCUAUAUUGAUCAGGAACAGGAGCUCCACCAUGCACACAGAGUUCCACCACAGCUGGAGCCUUCCCAUAAUAUCUCUUAAGAUUGUUAUUCAGAGCAGGUCCAUUCAGAUCCUCCACAUGCCAGACAUAAUUUGGAUCUAUAAGAUCAUCUAAUGUAGCCUCUUGCCAUGCAUGUAAACCAUUUCGAGACUGAUGCUUUGAAGCCUUGCACAUUCUCAACUUAUGUCCUUUAGGACCAACCUGGAUCUCAGGACAAUAGCCACAAGUAUUCACAGCAUACUUCUCCAUGAUCUUCUUUGUACCUGAUGACAUCUCAAUCCAUGAGUUCAGUAUAUGAUUACUUAAAUCCCUUAACUUGUUCCUUUCUUCAUCAUUUAGCUGAUCCAGAUGGCUUAUAUUGUUCUCCAAUAAAUUCUGGACCUUCUCUAUAGGUUGGUUCAGCAAAGUAGAUGAAUUCACAGAAGGUUUGUCAUUUCCAAAAGAAUAUUUUCCUUCAUUUUCAUCCUCUUUAACAACUGAUUCAAAAUCUACAAUUCUUCCUUCAAUACAAUAUACAGGCUUUGUUCUUCUUUUAGUAGGAUAUUUUUCAAGGUCUAGCCCUGCUUGUAUACAGAGUUCAACAAUGGCAGGUAUACGAGGAAUGCUGGACCUUUCAUCAUGCCCAACUCUUGGCCUACCAACACGGUCAUAGAGAUGAAAGCACUUAGGGAAGCUAACCACAUCUCGAACACCUCCCCUUGUCCAGACAUGUGUCGCAUGCCGGGAAACACUAUCUGGUCCAGUACAUGUUCGAAUUUCA
Molecule: small RNA, 1522 nt
Filed under: Vigna angularis var. angularis
Lineage: Eukaryota; Viridiplantae; Streptophyta; Magnoliopsida; Fabales; Fabaceae
Description: Non-protein coding transcript
Source: RNAcentral